UGCAUUGAGGAAAGUGGGAACAGGCACGUCAGGAUGUGGAAGAGAUCUAGUUUCACCCGUCCUCCUACGAUUUAAUAUUAUUAGUUGAAUUUGAAAAAUGAAAAAUAUAUUUUUGAAAAUAAUACCUAAGCGCCCAUCUUCAGAAUCACAACUUCUAGUUGCAGAAGAUCCAUUCGCUUCUUGAGUUUGACGCUUAAUUGCUUGCUAAGCGAUUAUCAAUUUUCUUGACAUCUAUUUAAUUACAAUUAUAUAAUAAAUAUAAUUGGGAAAUGAAUAUUAGAAGUAAAAGAAGAGGGAAAAGUAGAAAAAUUGGAAAUAUUGAAAUUUAAUUUUUAAAUAAAUUAAUUUUUAUAAGAUUUAAUUAUUUUAUAAAUAUAAUAAUAAUUAUUUAACAAAUAUAUUUUCUAUAAAAAAAUAUAUUAUCUCUAAAAUAAUAAUAUAUAUUAUCUUUAAAAAUAUAUUAUAUCGAUCUCUAGAAAAUAUAUAAUAUUUUAAGGUAUUUAUCUCAUAUAUUUUUUAAAUUUAAUUUUUAUAAAAUAUAAUAAAUAUUAUUUAACAAAUAUAUUUUCUAUGAAAAAUAUAUUAUCGAUCUCUAGAUAAUAUAUAAUAUUUUAAGGUAUUUACCUCAUAUAUAUUUUAAAUUUAAUUUUUAAAUAAAAUUAUUUUUUAUAAAAUUUAAUUAUUUUAUAAAUAUAAUAAUUAUUAUUUAUGGUGAGACAUGUCUGACUAUGGCAGUCACUCCCAGCAACGCUUUUCAACAAGGACUAGGGUUCCGUCGCUUUACGCCGGACCCCCGGAAGGCUCCCACGAAGCGGAACAAGUUCAUCGUCAAAUCGCCGAGUUAACCCAUAAAUCGCCGAUUGGACUACCAAAUCGCCGACUUUAAGGAUAAGUCGUCGAGUUAGGGCCCAGAUCGGCAGUAUGGUAUACUGCACAUCUCGCCCCUGGAAACUCAGGGAGUUUGCUCUAAAUAGGCGAUUUCCAUACCUGAAUUGCCGAUUUACGACUGUUACUCGCCGCCAGCCAACACCAUAAAUGCACCCAUAUAUGGAAAUAGGUGCGAUGUCCGCCUUUGAUCAAGCCCUCUGAGACCCUAUAAAAAGGGGACACUCAAAGGCACAACACAAGUUCCACUCUCACUAGGGCAUCACUAAGAGACUCGCCGAUUCUCACUAGAAUCGCCUAGUCUCUACUUGCAGGUAUUUGACGUAUAGCGUGCGUCGUGGAUUCCAGAGUCUCCGGCAUCACCUCGCACCACCACGAGCUCUUGGUAGCAGAUUCAAUGCUUCAUCAGCUGGCGCCGUCUGUGGGACUACCGAACAACCGGUCCGGUAUCCCGUCGUAAUCGCGGUUUUUUUGUAAAGUCUAGCAUGAACUCUCCCGGAGGGUUCGCCGACUUUGUCAACUAAGUCGCCGACUUAGAUCGACAGUAGCCAAUUCUCGCCUCAAGUCCGAUUUAUUCUUAAAUCGCCGACUUAGCCUUGAGAAUCGCCCGAUCCGGAAUAUCGUCUACUAAGCUAAGAGUGUUGUCCACGACUCUGUUCAAAAACUCCCAAAGUCAAAGUCGUCGAUUUAGAUCCCUAAAUCGCCGAUUUUUUCUUUGUUUCUUGAACAAGCUCGGUCAAGUCAUCCUUUACUUUGGAACUUACGUCUUCGCACAGGUUGGAUUUUUCCCAAGCAAAAAUCGCCUAUUUAGGGGCAAACUCGCCUAUUUUCAGUGAAUGUCGUUGAUUCCCACUUGAAUUGACGAUUCCCACACUGAGUAGGCGAUUCCCUCACUUGAAUCGUCCAUUCGAUCAUCGUCUUUAUUCAUCGCUUUGGUUGAAUAAGACCACUCAUAGCCCAGCUCUUUGGCCAAAACGAAAAUCCAUCGCCACGGUUGGAUUCGCCUCGUCGUUUCGGUAAAAAAAAAAGAAAAAGAGUAUGGGGAUUUUUGCUUUUUUUCACUUCCAGUGAUUCUGUCGGUCCACUUCCGGAAUAUGUUUGCCAUAUGCGAUAUGUGUGUCAUAUCAUAUUUAGAAUAAUCAUCCAUCACUUCAGACGGAUCAAUCACCCAUCGCUUCGGCUGGGUGACAUCCUUCGCUUCGACCUUAUCUAUCAUCUAUUCACGAGUCAAAGUGAUAGUUAUGAAAUCUAAUUUACAACAAAGAGUCUAAAUUACGAUUACAAGUCUAGUUUACGAUUUACGAGUCCAAGGCGCGACUUAAGAGUCUAAAUUACGAUUACAAGUCUAGUUUACGAUUUACGAGUCCAAGGCGCGACUUAAGAAUCUAAAUUACGACUUUCACGAAUAUUUGCGAAUCAAACCCUAAGAUUCCAAAUAUUUACGAAUCUAAAUUCUCUUUCAAAAUCUAAUUUACUACGUACAAGUCUAAAUUACGAUGAAAAGUGAAUACACCUAUGAUUUUUUGUAAUUCUGAGUCGGUUUGGGAAUUGUCUGCGAGUCUAACUGACGGCUGAAUUACGACUCUUAAUUACAACCAAGCUUACGGCCAGACUGCCUAAGUGGGGGUUACACAACCAAACUUACGUCCAGAGUGGCUAAGUGGGGGUUAUAAAAUCUAGUUUACGGCCAGAGUGUCUAAAUUACGAUUUACGAGUCCAGUUUCGAGCCUAUGUUAUGGUUCUAGGAUUAAUACGGCAAAUUAAAAAUGGAUAAUUUCAUAGGGAUCAAUCCAUCGCUUUGGCUGGAUGACACCCGUUGAUAGUACAGGGUCCGACACGCAGACCAUAGUACUAAAAGACGUAUCCCAAAGUAUCUAAUACGCAGAGGAGGGGGGAGUACUGGUGAUACAGUAUCCCGAACACGGUCACAACCUACCAGCAACUAGAAGUCCGGAUAGCCUAAGAUGAGUUGAGGUAUCUAUUCUAGGGUUAGGGAGGUCCAGGUCGAAUCCUAGGAAGAUCGACUUUCCUGAGGAUCGACUUCCCUGGGAUCGACUUUUGAGUAAAGUCGAUCACCAGGAAAAGUCGACCCCCAGAAAGUCGAUCUCUGGAAAGUCGACCCCUGGAUCCAAUCUGAUCAGUUGGGCAGUUAGGCGGUUACUGCCCAAAUGACCAUAUUACCCCCAUAAGAACCCCUAUAAAUAGAGGGCACCCCCCACUCAUUAAAGGCAGGUCAUUUGGAGCGAAAGGAUUCCUAGCGAAGCAGAGCUCUGCACACUUGAGUUCCGGUCCGGUUUCCCGCGGAGUUCCCCGCUUGGCGCUUGCUUGCGCGUCUUGGAGUACUUGUCGGGUUUCACCCCCAUCAGUUGGCGCCGUCUGUGACUCAAAGAUACUCACGACAAAAGCUCCUCGACUUUUUCGAAAAAAGUGAUCGACUUUUUUCCAAGUCGCCAGCUAGGAAGUCUUGCGAGGAAAUCAGCCAGCAAGGGAUCGACAUUUCAGAAGAUCGACUUUUUUCUUCCAAGGAAAAAGUCGACCCCUCAAGGAGCCAGGCUUUCAGACAUCGACUUCCAAGGAAUCCUCCAAGUGCACUAAGGAUCGACUUUUUGAAGAUCGACUUUUCUCUCCAAGCAAAAGUCGAACACUCCUUCAAGGAAAAGUCGAACACUCCAGGAUGGUGGUAACUAGAAGCACUUCCCAAGGAGGAGGAGCAAAUUCUCAGGAGGCGCCAGAGCAACAGCCUGGCAAUUCAAAAACUAAAAGGCCAGUGGGUCGACCACCCAAGGCCAACAAAAACAAGAGGACUCCCACAGGACCUGAGGCUGACACUGAAGUCGAACCCGAACAAACCCCCCAAGCUUCAGCAGGAGGGGAAAAUCUGAACAUCACAGUUCAGGCAAUAGCAGAGGCCAUCCGACUCAUUGCUGAAAAGGAGAAACCUUCAGGAGAACAGCCUCAGAAGGGGGGACCCACAAGCAGCAAGGAACCAAGGGCUGCUGCAUCAGAAUCCACUCAUGGGUUCAUAAAAAUGCCCAUAGAAGAGUUGGAAAAAAUGAAGGAAACCAUAGCGAAAAUGAGCGAGAAGAUAAAGGAUAUUGAAAAGUGUAAGGCGUCAAUAUACCAGUCAAAAGCUCAAACCUCAAAGCAGGCCAAGGCGCAGCAGGAGGUAUCAAGUCAUAGGGCAGCACACUCAAGUGCGCCACUAUCUCAUAAACCAGAGGGGCAACCCAAACUUCUUUUCAGAAAACCCGUACAGGAAGAAAGUACGGGAGACACAGAAGGAGGAGGCGAGGUCCCAAACUGGCUGGUAGGCAUGGAUGCUUUGCACAAAUCGCUGAUGGUAAAACCAGCACCUCUGAAAUUCAGGCUACCCAGGCUGCAGAUCUAUGAUGGGAAGAUGGACCCAGCGGACCAUAUAAACAUGUUCGUAGGGGCAAUGCAGUGGGCUACAUUAAGGGAUGACAUUCUCUGUAGAGCAUUCCCAGGAACGUUAAAAGGACCCACAUACAGAUGGUUCGUCGAACUGCAGCCAGGGAGCAUAACAAAUUUCGAGGACUUAAAAAAGAAGUUCGUCGCCCAACAUUGUGGAAACACAAGGGUUAGAAAGGGCACGGAAUCGCUGUUCGCAAUCAAGCAGAAUGGAGACACGCUUCGGAGUUAUACAACUAAAUUCACGGAAGCCAUGCAGAAAAUCUCCGAUCUGAACACAACAAUUGCAAUAUGCGCAUACUCAAAAGGGCUAGACAUGAACACGCCAUUAGCGAUAAAGCUAAACGUCAGUAAUGUAAAAUGCAUGGAGGACCUGCUAACAAAGGCCCAGAAAUACAUAAAUUCUGAAGAGUAUGAGAAAGAAAAAGAAAAAGAGAGAGGUGCCAUAAGCAAUAAAAAAGCAUAUGAAGCACCAAAGAAAAAAUUCCAGAAAUUUGAAAAAGGAGAAUCGUCCUGGAGACUAAAACACGACGGAAAGGUCUACCAGACAUCUGAGGAGUUCGGGAAAUCAAGAUAUCCAAAGUACAAAGACUUGGGAUUUACGGUUUUCACUACUCCAAAAGAGGAAAUCUAUAAUAAAGAAAAAGGAAGAAUAAGGUUUCCUCAACCAGAAGAGUUGAACCCUGCAACGAAAGAGGCUCGAACAAGGAGGAACAGGUAUUGCAAGUUCCACAAGGAUUACUGGCACAACACAGAGAACUGCAGGGAGCUGAGCACCUUCCUAGAUACACAAGUAAAGGAAGGAAAGCUAAGGCAAUAUAUAAAUAAAGUAGAAAGGGGGCGACAAGGCUGCAAGGACCCAAAGAACAAGGGUAAGCGCCAACGCUCAAGGAGUCCAGAUUCAGACACUGACCACAAAAGAAGGGUAAUUAAUUUAAUCUUCGGUGGAGGAUCGGUAGGAGAAAGCAGAAGUUACUCGCGCAAAAUAAUGCAGACAACAACGGUACCAAAAUCUAAAAAAAGAUCGUACCCAAGCGAGGAAAUAAGCUUCUCUGAGGAAGAUCUGGACAACGUAGUCAGCCCACAUGAGGAUCCACUAGUAAUACAAGUGGAUAUAGGGGAUGACUUAAGUCUGAACAAAGUAAUGGUGGACAACGGCAGCUCAGUAGAUAUAUUAUACCUAGCUGCGUUCGAAAAAAUGGGCUACAAAGUGGAUCAGCUAACCCCGGCCAAGGAAGCCAUCUAUGGGUUUACAAACACAAAGGCCCCAGUAGUAGGAGCCAUCAAUCUACAGAUAUCCCUGGGAAAAAGAAACGGGAGAGUAUCACGCACAGCACACUUCAUUGUGGUCAACAUAGACUCUCCGUUCAAUGGGAUCUUGGGCAGACCAAGCAUUCACGGUUUCAAAGCGAUACCAUCAUCCUACCAUCAAUGCUUCAGGUACCCAGGAAAAGAUGGCAAAAUGGCAACAGUCUUUGGAGCACAGAAAGACUCCAGAAAUUCGUACAGGAAGGCAACUAAAAUAGCUAAACCUAUAACCCUGUACAUUCAAGAAAGAGAUGAGGAAGAAGACACAACCUCAUCUAAUCAAGUUGAGGAGGUCAAACUCUCAAAGGGAGGAGUCCUGAUGGGGACAUCUUUAUCCUCCGAGUUAAAAAAAUCACUACUGCAGCUAUUAGAAACCCAUGUGCAUACGUUCGUAUGGGAAGGGGAGGCACCCUCACAGGUACAGCAUACUAUAACGUGCCAUGAGCUCAACAUAGACAGUAGCUUUACUCCUAUACGGAAGAAGCGAAGAAUACUCGCAGCUGAAAGAAAGGAGGCAGCACAGGCUGAAAUUGAUAAAUUAAUCAAAGCUGGGCACAUCCGGGAAGUCAAAUAUCCAAAGUGGUUAGCAAACCCAGUUAUGGUCAAAAAAUCUAAUGGGAAGUGGAGGAUGUGUGUAGACUUCACAGAUCUCAACAAAGCAUGUCCAAAAGACAGCUACCCACUCCCAUCUAUCGACAGAUUAGUGGAUGCAGCUGUAAUAACCAUAAUUUUUCCUUAAUUUAAAACUUAAAAUGUUACCCUCAAAUUUAACAUAACACUCAACAAGAUCCAUAUGCCCGAGUGGCCAUACCCCGAAAACAAAACAAAAUCAAGUGCUAGCGGAAACAAAUAAAUCCCUAAAUUAAUUCAUAUCCUUGGAUCCCAUUCAUGUGUGAAUCCCUCGUUCCAGUCCAUCCUAUGCUAUCGCUUAUCCUGAAAAAAAAUAUCAUUCGUGGUAAGUUUCAAAACUUAGUACAUGGAUAUCUAUUAAAUCUAUUAGUUCAUAAAUUCUUCCUUUUCCUUUACAUGGAUCAUCGGUUAACCCUCCCCAUGCCGUCAAACCCCGACGGGUCAUAUAGCCUCGUCAGGCCCGUUAAGUUCCAUUCGUUCCUUGUAUCGUCAAAUCCCUAAGGAUCCGUAAAUUCGUAUAAUGGCAUAAAAGAGAAUUGGGAGAUCGCAUGGUCUAAUAAAAACCCAAAAUGCACAAAAAAAAACCAAAGGUGAUGUAAAACCUUAAAUAAUAAAAUGGUCAGACUCACCUAUCGAUUUUAUUGAUUAAAAUCGAUUCGAUGAGCGUCCCAUGUAGGUGUCCGAGCCUUAAGCAAGUGCUUCUAUAGCCGUAGGGCAGCGUGAAUCCUGAACUUGGGAUCUGAUGGAGUAAAAUCCGCGAUUUUGGUCCCGUGUUCUUAAGGAUUCGUUGUUGUCCAGCAGCUCUUAUAUGCCUGAAAUUAACAUGGAAACUAGAGCAUCAAACAUGCAUAACCUAGGAGAAAAGGAACUUGCAACUUCGUUGCUGUCCAGCAGCGUUUGUGCGCCUGAAAACAACACAAGAUGGAUUAUAAAACCCACAUCCAUCCGGAAUAAAGACUAGCAACUACGUUGCUGUUCAGUAGCAUUUAUGCGCCUGAAUUAAAACAGAAAAUAGCGACGAAAAUCCGCAAUAAUCAGAAAUAAAAACUUGUAAAUUCGCUGCUGUCCAGCCACAUUUAUGCGUAUGAAAACAGCAUGAAAAUAGAGCAUAGGCCAGCAUCAAUCAGGAAUAAAGACAAACAAUUCUGUUACUGUCCAGCAGCAUUUAUGCACCUGAUUCAAACCAGAAAGCAGAGACGAAAACUCGCAAUAAUCCGGAAUAAAAUUUAUAAAGUCAUGGCUGUCCAGCCGUAUUUAUGCGCUUGGAAUCAGCACUAAAACAGAGCAUAAAACCAACAUCAAACGAGAAUAAAGACUUGCAACUCCGUUACUUUCCAUCAACAUUUAUGCGCCCGUAUCAAAACAAAAAUAGAGUAACACCGUAAUAAAACACUAGCGAAAAACUAAAAAUCGGGAAUGAAGACUAGCAUUGAAUAUUGUGAAGAUCCUCUUCACCCCUAAGCCUAGGAGUGUUAACAUGACUACAAUUAUUAAACCGUGGAACACCAAAGACUAGCAUAACAACAACAAAAAAAUUACCUUCUUGCACCAUUUCACCUCAUCUCUAUAACAUGACCUUUCAACUACAUAUACUACUAAAAGAAUCUUAUACCCACGUACCUUGAUCACUUCUUUAACCUUUUCUUUUCCCCUUCCAAGCCCUAGCCGAGAUCCUUCCCUUCCUCCUCCUUCAAUUUGCGUUUCCCUCUUCUCUUCUUUUUCUUUUUCCCUUUUCUCUUCCCCCCAAUGUAUUCUCUUAAAUCCUAAUUCCUCUCCUCCAAC
This 8034-nucleotide long non-coding RNA is filed under the name Zostera marina. Its description in RNAcentral is "long non-coding RNA (ZMAR_LNC001987)". The record is from RNAcentral. Lineage: Eukaryota; Viridiplantae; Streptophyta; Magnoliopsida; Alismatales; Zosteraceae.